UCAACAACGUUCAUUUUACGUUGAAGCGCGACGCAAGGAGGAUGUUGGAAAUUCUACUCCCUAAAAUUCAAAGACUCAGCUGUUUUUAAAACGUCGAGUAAACGUUUGGAUACCCAUUUCGACGUAUACCCAACGUUUGGAAUUCAAGCGUUUUCAAUAAGUGCUUUGUUAACAAAACCGAUGUGUUCAAACCGGCUUUGCUCAAGAAGAAGAAACAAGAUGAACACCGAGGGACUACCCGCUCAAGCUUUGAAGAGAAAAAAGACACGGAGACUGAAGAAAAGGAAACCACAGGAUGAUAAAAGAUAUGUUGCAAUGGAAGUUCCAAACAAGAGGACCAAAGGACAGACGGCAGCUCCCGAAAAUACUACACAGUUCCUGAUGGACGAUCGCGAGAAAUUUGAACCAUUCAACUUGGACGCUGCGUGUUCGCCAUCUUUUUCCCCAGUAAGUUCAUGUAGUUGUUCGACAUCUUCCGUUCGAGGCAGUCCUGCCAAUGAUGAAGACUUUGAAUCUUUAUCCGAAUUUGUUGAGGAUUUCGAUCAGCUGUAUUUCGAAAAGGAUUUCAACGACUUUUACGACAGUGUUUAUGCCGAAACUCUACUUUCGCUCACCAAACAAGAACUCAUCACGCGGUAUCUAGACUUGGAAAAGAAAGAAGAAGAGUUACUUCAACAAGUUAAAACAAUGAGUCCUGAAUCGUCGAAUGUUUCGCCUAUUUGUAACUACGAGUGUUUAAAAUCGAACUUCUCACACCAAUUUACAAGAAAUUCUCUUACGACAGAAAGCGCCAAAAACAAGGAGGCAGAGAAGAAGACUUUGAAAUCUCAAGUUCAAGAACUUCGUCUUCUUAACUCUCAGCUUCAGCAAGAAAACCAAAGAUUACGAGGCUGCUAGGUCCAGCGAUGAAGUUAAGUUGCUGAUAUGCAAUCUUGUGGCCCAGAAAACAUGUGAUCACCAGGUGACAAGGUGUCGCUCCCAGUCUCAAGAUCUGAGACCAAACAACACACAAGUUGUUGGCUUGUAGUGAGGACAUGGAACAUCACUAUGCCACAAGCAACCAAAUGAUGGUCAAACAAUAAGGUAUAUCUUCCUCAUUUGCCUUCCUUACCAGAAUCCAGCAAAUGAAAGUAACACAGAGGAGGUAUUUCAGACAUGGGACUUACAGUGCUUUGAAACUUAAAUAGUUUAUUGAGUGGUGAAUGGCAGUCAUGUUGUGUGGGUAAAACAAAUCCUUGUUUGUGGAAUAAAAACUAUUUUAUUUCACACUAUUGUUUCUGUCCCCACAACAUGGUUGCUAUGACAUGCUUCUAUUGAUACAGAACACAUCCACCCACUUAUACACGCACAGUUGUACAAAGAGAGUCGUAGUAAUGUUAUUAUUAUUGUGAUCUUGUGUGGGGUGACAUGGGUUUGGGGUUACUAACCAUGUAUUUUCAGGUUAAGAUACCAAAAGGAUCCGGAUCAAGACUUAGGACACCCCCAAGUAAUGGUUUUCAUUAUUUGAAUAUUUUUCUCAAUAAAAUUUAGUUCACACCAA
Molecule: RNA transcript, 1540 nt
Organism: Actinia tenebrosa (Australian red waratah sea anemone)
Lineage: Eukaryota; Metazoa; Cnidaria; Anthozoa; Actiniaria; Actiniidae
Source: RefSeq, a predicted model, not a curated record